GAUGAACGCUGGCGGCGUGCCUAAUACAUGCAAGUCGAACGCUUCACUUCGGUGAAGAGUGGCGAACGGGUGAGUAAUACAUAAGUAACCUGGCAUCUACAGGGGGAUAACUGAUGGAAACGUCAGCUAAGACCGCAUAGGUGUAGAGAUCGCAUGAACUCUAUAUGAAAAGUGCUACGGGACUGGUAGAUGAUGGACUUAUGGCGCAUUAGCUGGUUGGUAGGGUAACGGCCUACCAAGGCGACGAUGCGUAGCCGACCUGAGAGGGUGACCGGCCACGCUGGGACGGAGACACGGCCCAGACUCCUACGGGAGGCAGCAGUAGGGAAUUUUCGGCAAUGGGGGAAACCCUGACCGAGCAACGCCGCGUGAAGGAAGAAGUAAUUCGUUAUGUAAACUUCUGUCAUAGAGGAAGAACGGUGGAUAUAGGGAAUGAUAUCCAAGUGACGGUACUCUAUAAGAAAGCCACGGCUAACUACGUGCCAGCAGCCGCAGUAA
Molecule: ribosomal RNA, 498 nt
Filed under: uncultured bacterium
Lineage: Bacteria
Description: partial 16S ribosomal RNA
Rfam family: Bacterial small subunit ribosomal RNA
Source: RNAcentral